This 1142-nucleotide ribosomal RNA is filed under the name Triticum aestivum (bread wheat). Its description in RNAcentral is "partial small subunit ribosomal RNA". Lineage: Eukaryota; Viridiplantae; Streptophyta; Magnoliopsida; Poales; Poaceae. The record is from RNAcentral.
ACAACCCGUUCGGUAUUAAUUAAUUGAUCCAACACUAUGCAGGAUCACAAAGUAACUCUCUAUUUUACGUAGUUUGGUAAGUUUAGUCUCAUCGUACGUGCAUACGGUAAGUUAGAUCUCUCAUUUUUUUACUAUUCAUUUUUCCUUUGUCAUCGGACGUGAUGAUCAUGAAAUGAGCAACUUGGGUCGAGCAAGGAGAGGAGCAGAAGAGACGAUAGGGUUCUUGUCUUGGUCGGUGGGUGGAGAGAGAGAGGGGUUCUUGUCUCGUACCGGCGGCGGCGGAGCUAGACGGGGCAGGCCCGUAGAGGCCGCUGUGCCACCUGUGGAUGUCUAAGAGGAGCAGAGGGAGAUGGUAAAGGGGGAUAAAUAAAAUAGGCGGCGGCGGUUUUUGCAGCGGUGGUGAGUUAGGAUCGCGGCGGACUAAGUCCAGGCCACCCGAACGGUGGCCAACGUCGCCGUUGCUGCAGAGGUACGGAUGUAGGAGGGGUCGCGUUGGUGUGCGUGCUCCGCACGUCGGUGCCCGCAGCCCGCACACGCCGAAGUGGCCGCGACGAGCCAGCGUACCGAGACGACGAUUGCCACACCUGAUCGGUGUAGGAUGACGAUGAUGACGUUCUAUUUAUCUAGUUCCACUUAUCUACGAGUACCUGACUAAGUUUGGCUCCACUUCUAUCUGUUCUUCAGUUCGUUCUUCCCGAUUGUGUUGUUCCAUGAACUAAUCAUGGACUACCGCGUACGCUGGGUUUCCCGAAGUGGCGUCACUUCCUGUUGUCACACCGUCUUCCACUUUUCCGUUCACCACCACCAUGAGGUCACAUACACACACACACUCCACCUUACCUGGUGUCACUUUCCUUACCGAGGAUAAAUAUCACCCCAAUCAUCGAUAUAGCCAAACCUCUCCGUAAUGUAGACCGUACGUACGCACCAAUCCGAACGUACGUACGGAGGUGAACACAGAGAACAUCCGACAUGAUCCCUGUUCACAUUAAACGAACUGACCGGUAAUCAACCGUAAAUGAAAUACACCUUUUUUUACUCUGGUUCUAGACUAAUAUUUAAACAUCUUAUGUACUUCCAAACCUUUUAUAAAACAACACGUACCAGUUUACGAUAAACGAUAUUAUUUUUAAUUUACAGUC